UACGUAGGGGUCAAGCGUUCUCCGGAUUCAUUGGGCGUAAAGAGCGUGUAGGCGGCCAGGUAGGUCUGCUGUGAAAACUCGAGGCUCAACCUCGAGACGUCGGCGGAAACCAUCUGGCUAGAGUCCGGAAGAGGAGAGUGGAAUUCCUGGUGUAGCGGUGAAAUGCGCAGAUAUCAGGAAGAACACCCGUGGCGAAGGCGGCUCUCUGGGACGGUACUGACGCUGAGACGCGAAAGCGUGGGGAGCGAACAGG
This 253-nucleotide ribosomal RNA is filed under the name uncultured bacterium. Its description in RNAcentral is "partial 16S ribosomal RNA". It matches the Rfam family "Bacterial small subunit ribosomal RNA", at positions 524 to 776 of the family's 1533-position model. The record is from RNAcentral.